UGGCGAUCGCGCCAGAGCAUUUUUCCGGCGAAAGGGAUUCUCCUCAUCCCAGGCGAAUGAGCUUGUCAGCGGAGUGCUGCAAGCCGCAGCUUGUUCCCGCUGAUCGCUCAUCUCCGAUCUGGCCGUUGAUCUGGCAACUCCGGUUGCUGUGGCCGCGCCCUCUAUUGGCCAGACGCUGUCGUUUUCCAGCACUUAGCUCCGUGCCUCCAGUCAGCUGCUCUUCCGUCGUUAUCCAACACCACUUGCGGUGUGCUUGGCCAAUUUUGCCCAAAAACAAAAAGAAGGCAAGAAUAGGAAAACAGGCACUUACCUGCUGUUCCUUCCCCCCCCUUCGGCCUAGGGCUCGACGGCGUCCCACUGGGAUUUCGGCCGCUUCUCUGCUUGCGGACUUGCGUUCCGCGCAGGCUAACUUCCGACGUUUUCCACUGAAUUAUACGGAACGAUUUAAAAACACGACCGCACUCACUAGAAUAUGUGUGUGUGUGUGCCUCUGUGUGUGCCGGUGUGUGUGUGUGUGCUCCAGACAAAUACUCCCAAAUCUCUCCCAAUUGUGCGAUAUCACCCCGCAGCAGCAGCCCCGUGCCACGCGUCCCCUGUCGGAUAGCAUUUUGUAGAUUUUAAUAAACACGCAAGAUAAUUAAAUUUAA
Drosophila miranda is the source of this 647-nucleotide long non-coding RNA. RefSeq lists it as uncharacterized. The record is from RefSeq and is a predicted model, not a curated record. The transcript is spliced from 2 exons. Lineage: Eukaryota; Metazoa; Arthropoda; Insecta; Diptera; Drosophilidae.